ACACAACAAGAAAAUUAACAUUUAAGAACGUUUAUGACUAAAAGCAUUCCAAUAUAGUCUAGCGUCAUAUUUGAAAGCGUCGAUUAAAACGUCGAUAAAUAAAGAGUCGUCACUUAUAUAUCGACACUUACACCAAGCGUCGAUAAAAUAUAUUCUGACGUUUUAAAGCAUUAAAAUUUUUCAUGAUUUUUUAAAAUCAUGAAGCUUUAAAGUGUCGGAAAAUUAAAAGAAAUAAUAAAAUUUAGAGCAAUGCUCUUAUACACCAACAGAUCUUAGUCCUUAAAUUUUCUAAAAUAGAUAGUGAGGAUGUCUUUUAUUUAAGAGGGUGACCAGCUUUUGUUGUAUUAGGUACCGGUCAUCCUCUUACCGAG
This 371-nucleotide long non-coding RNA is filed under the name Ananas comosus (pineapple). RNAcentral's name for it is "long non-coding RNA (ACOM_LNC009194)". The record is from RNAcentral. Lineage: Eukaryota; Viridiplantae; Streptophyta; Magnoliopsida; Poales; Bromeliaceae.